UACGUAGGGGGCGAGCGUUGUCCGGAUUCAUUGGGCGUAAAGCGCGCGCAGGCGGCCGCGAGAGCCCGGCGUGAAAGCCCCCGGCUCAACCGGGGGAGGCCGUCGGGGACCUCGGGGCUGGAGGCCGGUAGGGGCGAGCGGAAUUCCCGGUGUAGUGGUGGAGUGCGUAGAGAUCGGGAGGAACACCGGUGGCGGAGGCGGCUCGCUGGGCCGGUCCUGACGCUCGGGCGCGAAAGCCAGGGGAGCAAACGGG
RNAcentral lists this ribosomal RNA (253 nucleotides) under uncultured bacterium. Its description in RNAcentral is "partial 16S ribosomal RNA". It matches the Rfam family "Bacterial small subunit ribosomal RNA", at positions 524 to 776 of the family's 1533-position model. The record is from RNAcentral.